UACGGGGGGGGCAAGCGUUGUUCGGAAUUACUGGGCGUAAAGGGCUCGUAGGCGGCCAACUAAGUCCGACGUGAAAUCCCCAGGCUUAACCUGGGAACUGCGUCGGAUACUGGAUGGCUUGAAUCCGGGAGAGGGAUGCGGAAUUCCAGGUGUAGCGGUGAAAUGCGUAGAUAUCAGGAGGAACACCAAUGGCGAAGGCAGCUCGCUGGAACGGUACUGACGCUGAGGUGCGAAAGCGUGGGGAGCGAACAGG
Molecule: ribosomal RNA, 253 nt
Filed under: uncultured bacterium
Lineage: Bacteria
Description: partial 16S ribosomal RNA
Rfam family: Bacterial small subunit ribosomal RNA
Source: RNAcentral